UUAACUUAAACUGUAGCUUGUAAAGGUCUAGUAGGUAAGACUUACAAAACUAACUUUCUGUCAUAUUUGCUGAAACUGACCCUAUGUUUGAGUAGAACUACAUGAAGCAGGUAAUUAAAAAAAAAAAAAAAAAAUCCGUCUCCUCUGGCACCAC
Molecule: long non-coding RNA, 154 nt
Organism: Sander lucioperca (pikeperch)
Lineage: Eukaryota; Metazoa; Chordata; Actinopteri; Perciformes; Percidae
Exons: 3
Source: RefSeq, a predicted model, not a curated record